GAUACCCUGGUAGUCCACGCCGUAAACGAUGUCGACUUGGAGGUUGUGCCCUUGAGGCGUGGCUUCCGGAGCUAACGCGUUAAGUCGACCGCCUGGGGAGUACGGCCGCAAGGUUAAAACUCAAAUGAAUUGACGGGGGCCCGCACAAGCGGUGGAGCAUGUGGUUUAAUUCGAUGCAACGCGAAGAACCUUACCUGGUCUUGACAUCCACGGAAGUUUUCAGAGAUGAGAAUGUGCCUUCGGGAACCGUGAGACAGGUGCUGCAUGGCUGUCGUCAGCUCGUGUUGUGAAAUGUUGGGUUAAGUCCCGCAACGAGCGCAACCCUUAUCCUUUGUUGCCAGCGGUCCGGCCGGGAACUCAAAGGAGACUGCCAGUGAUAAACUGGAGGAAGGUGGGGAUGACGUCAAGUCAUCAUGGCCCUUACGACCAGGGCUACACACGUGCUACAAUGGCGCAUACAAAGAGAAGCGACCUCGCGAGAGCAAGCGGACCUCAUAAAGUGCGUCGUAGUCCGGAUUGGAGUCUGCAACUCGACUCCAUGAAGUCGGAAUCGCUAGUAAUCGUGGAUCAGAAUGCCACGGUGAAUACGUUCCCGGGCCUUGUACACACCGCCCGUCACACCAUGGGAGUGGGUUGCAAAAGAAGUAGGUAGCUUAACCUUCGGGAGGGCGCUUACCACUUUGUGAUUCAUGACUGGGGUGAAGUCGUAACAAGGUAACCGUAGGGGAACCUGCGGUUG
Molecule: ribosomal RNA, 739 nt
Filed under: Shigella dysenteriae 1012
Lineage: Bacteria; Pseudomonadati; Pseudomonadota; Gammaproteobacteria; Enterobacterales; Enterobacteriaceae
Description: bacterial SSU rRNA
Rfam family: Bacterial small subunit ribosomal RNA
Source: RNAcentral